UAAAAAUGCUUGCGAACAUUUGGAUUGUUCAAAAACAUCCACAAAAUAGACCAGAUCCAAAGAUCAGCCCAAAAGGAUUUCACAUCAUAAUUCAACAUGUUUUAAGUUUAAACGUUCUCCUUGGUACAUAUACAGUGGGGAGAACAAGUAUUUGAUACACUGCCAAUGGGAAAACCCACUGUAUAUACAUAUAUAUGUAUGAAAAUGUGUUUGAUAGAACAAUAUGUCUAUAUGCUGCCAUUGCAGAUUCAUGGCGCAUUAAGCCCCCAAACUAUUUUUAAUUUGUGCCUUUUACCCUGGAAACCCUCGUUACAGACAUGGCGAAACCGCUUUUGUGUCAACCCAGCCAUAAAAAGAAGAUGUCAAGUGACUGAUAGGGCCAGCAUAGGAUUCACGGAAGUUAGUUUCACCUCCAGAAGGAUAACUCCUCUUCAUUUUUUCAACCAGACAUGAUGGGAAGUCACAUACAUAAGAACGGGUGUAAUUCACAUGAUGUCAUACCCUCUUCAGGGUUUGUAUCCCUCUGUGAAACUCCAUCGAGUUUAUAUGGACCACCAGGAUCUACUAGGGAAAAAAAAACAUUCCAUUUUCAAAAGGUAUGAAGAUGAUGAAUAAUUUCAACAAGGCAAUAUGUUGUCUUGCUAAAUGUAUACAUAUUUCGAACGGCACAAAUGCAAUUAACAUUUCUAGAUGAGGUGGGAAUGGAAGCGAAGUAACGCUAAUAAUUCCAGCAACCUACCUGUAUGGAAAGCCUAUCCGGUGUGUUUGUGUCCGAUACAGAUUCAUUUUUUGCUUCGAUACAAAUGGAAUCUUCUGAAUUGUACCGCCUUCUUGGGAGACUAACGGUGUACACUUGCUUGGGAAACUAACAGGUCCAAGGCACGGAUACUCGUUAGCCAGUUUGGGUUGAUUAUUGUCUGAAAACACAGGACACAGAUUAAUGGACAAAAGAAAUGUGUCGUCGUUGCAAGAAUAAUCCAAUCAUCUUUCUUCAUCCGCGAAACCGUCAAACCCAUAUAAGAACACUCCCAGACA
Long non-coding RNA from Corythoichthys intestinalis (scribbled pipefish), 1035 nucleotides. RefSeq lists it as uncharacterized. The record is from RefSeq and is a predicted model, not a curated record. NCBI's taxonomy places the organism in Eukaryota, Metazoa, Chordata, Actinopteri, Syngnathiformes, Syngnathidae. The transcript is spliced from 3 exons.